UCUCCCUCUGAUGCCGAGCCGAAGCUGGACUGUACUGCUGCCAUCUCGGCUCACUGCAACCUCCCUGCCUGAUUCUCCUGCCUCAGCCUACCGAGUGCCUGCGACUGCAGGCGCGUGCCGCCACGCCUGACUGGUUUUCGUAUUUUUUUGGUGGAGACGGGGUUUCACCGUGUUGGCCGGGCUGGUCUCCAGCUCCUAACCGCGAGUGAUCUGCCAGCCUUGGCCUCCUGAGGUGCCGGGAUUGCAGAUGGAGUCUGGUUCACUCAGUGCUCAAUGGUGCCCAGGCUGGAGUGCAGUGGCGUGAUCUCGGCUGGCUACAACCUCCACCUCCCAGCCGCCUGCCUUGGCCUCCCAAAGUGCCGAGAUUGCAGCCUCUGCCCGGCCGCCACCCCGUCUGGGAAGUGAGGAGCGUCUCUGCCUGGCCGCCCAUCGUCUGGGAAGUGAGGAGCCCCUCUGCCUGGCUGCCCAGUCUGGAAAGUGAGGAGCAUCUCUGCCCGGCCGCCAUCCCAACUAGGAAGUGAGGAGCGCCUCUUCCCGGCCGCCAUCCCAUCUAGGAAGUGAGGAGCGUCUCUGCCCGGCCGCCCAUCGUCUGAGAUGUGGGGAGCGCCUCUGCCCCACCGCCCCAUCUGGGAUGUGAGGAGUGCCUCUACCCGGCCGCGACCCCGUCUGGGAGGUGAGGAGUGUCUCUGCCCGGCCGCCCUGUCUGAGAAGUGAGGAGACCCUCCACCUGGCAACCGCCCAGUCUGAGAAGUGAGGAGCCCCUCUGCCCGGCAGCCGCCCCGUCUGAGAAGUGAGGAGCCCCUCCGCCCGGCAGCCACCCCAUCUGGGAAGUGAGGAGCGUCUCCACCCAGCUGCCACCCCGUCCGGGAGGGAGGUGGGCAUAUCAAUCACAGUGGUCCAAUGAGCCUUGAGCCAGAACUUCUGCUGGGAUUACUGGAAAAAAAGCUCAUUUAUUGCCAGAGUUCCUGCAAGCUUGGAGCUGCUAGAGGCCAUCUUUGCAACCUCGUGGGGAGAUCUUUCGGGAAAAUGAAACCAUCACAAAGGCAAGCAGAGUCUAGAGACUGAAACAGAUUUCUGUCAACAUCCUAUGGGCCCUUGCUCCCAGCCAUGCCUGAAGUUGGCUGUACCUCCGGGACCUAGACAUUUUAGUUACUCAAAAUAAUAAAUUCUCUUGUGUCCGAAA
Long non-coding RNA from Homo sapiens (human), 1183 nucleotides. RefSeq lists it as uncharacterized. Lineage: Eukaryota; Metazoa; Chordata; Mammalia; Primates; Hominidae. The transcript is spliced from 2 exons. The record is from RefSeq and is a predicted model, not a curated record.